Molecule: long non-coding RNA, 1107 nt
Filed under: Piliocolobus tephrosceles (Ugandan red Colobus)
Lineage: Eukaryota; Metazoa; Chordata; Mammalia; Primates; Cercopithecidae
Description: lncRNA (ENSPTEG00000002891.1)
Source: RNAcentral
AUGGAUGAACAACAUAAGCUUAUUAAUCAGUUAAUAGAGUUCGGUUAUUCGGAAGAGAUUAGUAAGCGAGCUAUAAAGCAGGGUGGAGCCAAAACAAUUGACGAUGCGCUAAAUUGGAUUGAAAAGGAAGAAGCAAAUGAACUUUCCACAAGACAUAAUGAAAAAUUAAAUAAGCAAAAUAUACAAACUAGUAACACUAAUGAUAGUAACACUAAUGAUAAUAAAGUCAUAAACGGAGAAGGUAAUGAUUUUUGUAAUAAGAGUUUAAACCCUUCUACUUCCUUUGAUGCUGAAAAUAAUUUAAUAAAUAAUAAAAAACUAACACCAGAGGAAGCUCAACAAAAAGCUAUAGAGUUGCAAAAAAAAAUUCGUGAAAAAAAAUUAUUAAAAGAGAAGGAAGAAGAAAUACAAAAAGAAAAAAAUCGACUUGCUAUGGCAAAAGAUAUUCAAAAAAGAAAUGAACAACUUCAAGAAUUCGAAAGAAAAAAAUAUUUAAAACAAUUAGAAAAAGAGAAAGAAGAACAUAAAAAAGAAAGAGAAAAACAAAUAGAAUUGUUAAAAUUAGAAUAUAAAGCAAAAUUUGGUAUUGAUUAUUUACCAGAAUCAGAAAAAAAAAAAAAUAUCGAAGAUCUAUCAGAAAAUGAAAGAAGAGAAGAAAUUGCUAUUUUAUUUAAUACUUUAAAAAAUAAAUAUAAAAAUAAAAAAAACGAAUUAAUUAGUUCAUUAAAUGUUUUAAAAACUUAUUUUAGUAAUAUUAAAAACAAUAUCUUAGAAAAAAAAUUUCAAAAAAUUAAAAAAGAAAAUAAAACAUUUAUUGAAAAAAUUAAAAUAUAUGAUGAAAUGGUAAAUAUAUUUCUGUUAGUCGGUUUUGAAGAUACAGGAGACUUUUAUGUUAUAAAAAAAUAUCCUAAUACGUAUUUACUUGGGGCAGCUAUAAAAUUUAUUGAUUUGACUAUAAAAAAUUUAAGUUAAUGGAAAGCGAUAAAAAAAAAAAAAAAAAAAAAAAAAAAAAAAAAAAAAAAAAAAAAAAAGAAGAAGAAGAAGAAGAAGAAGAAGAAGAAGAAAAAAAAAUACAAUACAUUAAAUAAAAAUGUAGUAUAAAUAACA